Molecule: long non-coding RNA, 215 nt
Filed under: Elaeis guineensis (African oil palm)
Lineage: Eukaryota; Viridiplantae; Streptophyta; Magnoliopsida; Arecales; Arecaceae
Description: long non-coding RNA (EGUI_LNC080420)
Source: RNAcentral
GAAGGAAGCGAUCUAUAUAUCGAUCUAUCCGGAUCGAUCACCAUCUUUAUGAUGAUACUAUGAUUGAGAGUAUUUAAGAAUUAAAUAUAUGUCUCUAAUUCUUAACACUUUGAGAAUAUGUAUCAAAAUAUUAAUUUUAUGGAUUAUUCAAGGAUACAUCACACUUGAAUGAAAUUAAACUUACCCUUUUUAUUGAUCAAAUUAAUGUAUUAAGC